Ceratitis capitata (Mediterranean fruit fly) is the source of this 995-nucleotide long non-coding RNA. RefSeq lists it as uncharacterized. The transcript has 3 exons. Lineage: Eukaryota; Metazoa; Arthropoda; Insecta; Diptera; Tephritidae. The record is from RefSeq and is a predicted model, not a curated record.
GAUUUUGCCGUAGUUAAAAUUAUGCCAUUUAUGCACCGUUGUGCUCAACAACUUUUCCUGUUUGAAGCUCUCAUGUAAAAACAGUUGACCUAAUUGGCAAAAAAAUAAGACUAUCGCUUUUCACAGACUGCUCUUGAAUCGUAUUCUUCAGCAGCCAAGUUAUUCACCAUUCAGAAACAGGUGCGAAUCACUUGAUGCAAGGUCCGGAUAUGGGGAUAGAUAAAGAAGAAUCUCACAACCAUGAACUCGCAGCUUCUGGUGAUAGAUUGUCAAUGAUUGCGAGCCGGCAUUUGACCAAAGGAAAUGCGAUGAUCAGUUGAUAAUCACUGUCAGACCCGGUUAAUACUCUCUUUCCAAGGGUUACCAGAAAGCUCAUUGGAGAAAUCAUGGUUGAAAGCCCAGUAGUGAGGAGAUCGAAAAUGUUAUCUGACUGGUAUGACUGCCACAAAAAUCUUUUAGCGGAUACACGCUUUUUCAGAAAGCAUCUAGAGAUCAUAACCAAACCAUAAUUGAAAAAAUAUUUUAGAUUCAUCAAAUGCUAUAAUACAUCGUCCUCAGAAAUAGUUGAAGAGUCCAUUAUUGUUGUUGAGCACUGUCGCAUGACAAAAUGGAUUUAAAUUUCAUGGUGGACGUAAAGGUAGAAAACCUACUCGAGAAAUUUUCGCAAAAAAACGAGUUACAUAGGUCUUGAAACUUCAAAGGAAUAUUUUUCCCAACUCACAAGUCGAUCGAGAUGAAACUGCAGAAAUUAGCGACUUUUAUAAACCACCGUCUUUGCCAUGGCUUGAUCGAUGGGGAAACUUUAAACGCGUUUUUCUUAAAACCACUUUAUCCAAAUCAGUAGUCAAAAUUUCUCAACGAUUAUUAAAGCGAUGGAGUCCAAAUUUUCCACACUACCUUUAAACAUGUUUUUGUAGUCCCUGAAUGAAGGAUUUAUUUUAUUUUUUAUUUCAACACAGUUUACAAGCCAACAUGUGGCCUAGUUUUAUGCCAAA